GAGAUUCCCCCAGUAGCGGCGAGCGAACGGGGAGCAGCCCAGAGUCUGAAUCAGCUUGUGUGUUAGUGGAACGGUCUGGAAAGUCCGACGGUACAGGGUGAUAGUCCCGUACACCAAAAUGCACAGGUUGUGAACUCGAAGAGUAGGGCGGGACACGUGGUAUCCUGUCUGAAUAUGGGGGGACCAUCCUCCAAGGCUAAAUACUCCUGACUGACCGAUAGUGAACCAGUACCGUGAGGGAAAGGCGAAAAGAAC
RNAcentral lists this ribosomal RNA (255 nucleotides) under Klebsiella aerogenes. Its description in RNAcentral is "partial 23S ribosomal RNA". It matches the Rfam family "Bacterial large subunit ribosomal RNA", at positions 231 to 524 of the family's 2925-position model. Lineage: Bacteria; Pseudomonadati; Pseudomonadota; Gammaproteobacteria; Enterobacterales; Enterobacteriaceae. RNAcentral also lists the same sequence under 6 other names. The record is from RNAcentral.